Lotus japonicus is the source of this 1782-nucleotide long non-coding RNA. RefSeq lists it as uncharacterized. Lineage: Eukaryota; Viridiplantae; Streptophyta; Magnoliopsida; Fabales; Fabaceae. The transcript has 6 exons. The record is from RefSeq and is a predicted model, not a curated record.
ACAUUUUCUCUCCUUUUCUUCAAUCACGUUUGGUUUCCUCUCAAGCGUAUCUUUUUUCUCCUCCUCUCUCACAAUUCCAUCCCAAAUCCUUUGCUCCUCUCGCAUCCGGUUUCUCCUCACACGUCUCUGUUUCUCUGUUUCUACCUUGCCUCUCCCUGUUUCUACCUUGCCUCCAGUUUUUUCCAUCGUCGAUUCCUCUUCUUCACUUCAUUCUAAUAAGCGCCUCCUCAUCGACGAAUGAAAAAGGGCAUAAACAGGGCAUGAAGAUUGAUAAAUCAUUAUUGGAAAUUGUUCUGAAUGGUGUCACUGUGAACUGCUCAAGCAGAUGAAACACCUUCCAUUUUUAGGAACCAUUUAUCUCAAGCGACGACUCAGGUAUCUUCUCCCCGGCGGCUAGGUCUCAGUCCUCCUCUUCACACUUGCUGCCAUUAUGCCUUCAUCAACAUCAGCAGUGUUGUUUUUGAAAUUUGAACUAAAAAUAAAAGAAUGGAAGAGAUAGACCGCAAGCGUUGUGGAAUGUGGUUCAUGGAGCUGUGCUUUGAGGAGGAAUGAGGUCGUUUAUUUUCUGAUUUGUCUGCUGGUUCAUAUCUAACAUUGUGUAGCUCCAAGACUAACCUCUUGGUUGUAGCUCUAACUAGCUAAAUUUCUAACUGGAACAUUAGCAUUCAAACAAUGCAUUUUAUCAAAGAGUGAAGAGCUACUUUUAAUACACUAACGGCUAAGAGCUAAUUUUACAAAAAAAAAGAACCUAUCAAAGAACUUGAUGUGUAGUGAAUAUGCUACAACCAUUAACUUUACAUGUAGUCGUUGUUUCUUUCUUCCAUCAGCAGCCCUAUCUAUUGCAAACCAUAAUGCCUCUAUGAACCCUAUAGUAUGCUACUCAAGAUGAUAUCAAUUUGAAAUUUGGGGGUUUUGUCUAACCAUGGAGGUUUCAUAUAUUUGGGUGGGUUUGAUGAAGCGUGCUCUAUUUUUCAUAUAUUUUCUUUUUGGUCUAAGAGAAUCAUCUUCUAUAUUUUUUUUAGAUUCUAAUAUUUUUUACUUGCAAUGUUUUGAUGAGGCUAGAAGUUGUGAACACAAUGAAGAGAAUACUAACACAGAAGAGAAGAAAUCUUGAGAUUUAAAUAAGAUGAAAUUGAAGUUCUGUGAAAAUGAUUUUCAUGAAUUUUGUUGUAAUUUUUUCAUCUGUGUUGUUUUGUGAUGGAUGCCUUGGCUGAUGGUAGUUUUUCCACGACCCUUGGAUUCAAUGACCUUAGGAACUUUUCUAUUUAACAUGUUUGUAUUUUUUACUAAUGCACGAUGAGACUAUUGUUCAUGAUGGAAAAGAAAGGGAUAUUGUUGAAGAGGAAUUCAAGCAAGGCUGUGGUUUACUAAUAUGACUUAUGAAAGCACAAAUUCAUGCUUCUGUGUUAGAAAGUCUUGGUAAAAAAGUUUGAAAGGAUUCUCAGAGAAGGAUCAGUUUAUCCCCAGCAAAUAUUACAAAUAGGAAGACCUUGCCCUAUUGGCUAUGGAUAAAGUUGAACCACUUUCAAUUUACGAUUUGAAAUACAAGUCGGGAUGACGUAGGAAGAUCCACCGUCAAACACCAUAGCACAAUCCAUUGGGGAUAUGAGCAGAUUCCUUGGCCUUGAAGGAGCUUCUGGCUUGCGGUUAUUGGAUGUAAAAGACGAGUGAUUUUAAUGUAAUUUUAGCUAAUAUUAUAAUCUUAACUGCUUUUUACUUUAGUCCUUGAAUUAUUUUUUAGCCGUGUAUCAAUCCAUAUAUUAACCUUUUUAUUUUCUUUGA